RNAcentral lists this long non-coding RNA (994 nucleotides) under Canis lupus familiaris (dog). RNAcentral's name for it is "lncRNA (ENSCAFG00845021088.1)". The record is from RNAcentral. Lineage: Eukaryota; Metazoa; Chordata; Mammalia; Carnivora; Canidae.
AUGUCGAGCCAACUCAUUGGACAGCCUCAUGUCGGAGGGGUAGAAAGGAUGUCAGCGUCCCACGUCUGUCACUCAGGUGACCCGCAGCACCUCAAAAUGACAGAGCUGAAAGAAAGUGUUUUGGAAGAGCUGCAUAUAUGUUUGACAGAAUGUUGCAAGGUGUACAGAUGCUUCAGUGUGGACAAAGUGAAAACAGGUUCACGAUGCUUUGAAAAACCGAGAAAAGUGAGCAGUGAUGAAAGGUUAGGAUGCUUCAUUUUCUGUGUGCUCUUGGCUGGACCACAGGGCCUAGAUAUUUGGUCGAACAUUAUCCUGGAUGUUUUUGUGAGGCCUUGGUUGAGAUUCACAUUUAAAUCAGUGGACUUUGAGGGGAGCAGGUGCCCUCUAUGAUGUGGGUGGGCCUCCUCCAGUCAUGUAAAGGCCUGCAAGGAGCUAAAGACUGACCUCCCCCAGCAAGAGGGAUUUCUGCCAGCAGACGGCUUUUGGACUUGAGCUGCAUUGGCUCUUCUCUGGGUCUCGCACUUGCUGGCUCACCCUGCAGAUUUUGGACUUGCCAGCCUCCAUAAGCAGGGGAGCCAAUUCUUUAUAAUAAAUCUCUUUAUCUAUUUCUCUAGUUAGCGAUCAUCUAUCUAUACCUAUCAUCAUCUACUAUCAUCUCCUGUCGGUUCUGUUUCUCUGGAGAAGUCUGGCUAAUACAACCAUUUUUUUUUUAAAGAUUUUAUUUAUUCAUUCAUGAGAGACACACAGAGAGAGGCAGAGACACAGGCAGAGGGAGAAGCAGGCUCCCAGCGGGCGCCCCGAUGCGGGACUCAAUCCUAGGACCCUGGGAACAUGCCCUUGCCCGAAGCCAGAUGCUCAACCGGUGAGCCACCCGGGUGCCCCUGGUUAAUACAAAUAUUGAGGAAACUUCAAAUACCCUCACUUUCACAGUUAAUGACCACACCCACUCACCUUCUCUAUACUUGGGAGCAUACGGCUGUAGAUGCCGCCUGGG